ACACUGAUGGUGAAACGGUAUCAUGCUUGCCUUCCAUUUCCGCUUAGCAAGCGGCGCGGGUUCGACUCCCGCUCAGUGUA
Molecule: non-coding RNA, 80 nt
Organism: Amylocystis lapponica
Lineage: Eukaryota; Fungi; Basidiomycota; Agaricomycetes; Polyporales; Postiaceae
Source: the annotation of a GenBank genome assembly